UUGUACCCUUCAGAAAUCUCUUCUUCUCUAUUCGCAGUACUGUAUUGAUGAAAGAACUUAAUUAGUAGUCAUCAUUGUACCAUCACCUAGGCAUAGAGCAGAAACAUCAAGUAUCAAAUUGUUCAGACAAAGAGUUAGUUCUUCAUUUAGAAUUUUUUUGUACAACUGCUCAUCAUAUUUCUAUUUGGUACAUUUCAUUAGCGACGUUUAAUGGUUCUGACUUCUGAGUUGUUUGUUAAUAGACUAAGCACCAAUCUUUAUCACGCAAUGCAAUAACAGCCCCUAAGAUACUCCAUUUUUAUGCGCACUAUCUAACAUCGCCAACUCUCGCCACCGCACCUCAGCCCAAGAUACCUCCAAAAAACAAAGAAGCCAUUGACGUAGACAGAACAACACCAACCAAUACCAGUUGUACUACACAAAUAAACUCAAAAUUCAGUCACUACGUAUAUUAUACAGCAGAUUAAGGAAUAACAUGUCAGAGGCAUUUAGGCUUGGGAUAAAAUAGAAUUAAUUGUCAGAUAAAAAGAAGUAACUUGUAAAUUUUUAAGAUAAUUCAUGGUUCUAUCAUAUGAAAGAAUUUUUUUUCCAGUUCCGACGGGGAAAAGUGGCUUCCACCUAGAAAGCAAGUAGUUGCUUACUGUGUUUCACUGUUCACAAGCAGCCAAGAAAUAUUGCAGAAGUGAAAUCGACUUACCCUAACCAAGACUUGCGCAAAUUCUGCGAAAUCAUUUGUAAAGUUGUUGAAAUCAUCAUUCUCGCUAACUGUAUAAACCACUGAAAAAGGAUUUGAAUUUGAGAUGUGAGCACAUACAGUCAUAUAUGGAGUCACAAUUUCAAAUUAGGGCAUUUGGGUCGAUAACACAUGGGUCAUAAUUUGUGAUUUGAGCGGAGAGAAAAUGGAGUGGGGGAAAUUUCUGGAGAGAUA
Molecule: long non-coding RNA, 928 nt
Filed under: Nicotiana tabacum (common tobacco)
Lineage: Eukaryota; Viridiplantae; Streptophyta; Magnoliopsida; Solanales; Solanaceae
Description: long non-coding RNA (NTAB_LNC005224)
Source: RNAcentral